This 253-nucleotide ribosomal RNA is filed under the name uncultured prokaryote. Its description in RNAcentral is "partial 16S ribosomal RNA". It matches the Rfam family "Bacterial small subunit ribosomal RNA", at positions 524 to 776 of the family's 1533-position model. The record is from RNAcentral.
AACGUAGGAGGCAAGCGUUAUCCGGAGUUACUGGGCGUAAAGCGCAUGUAGGCGGAUGGACAAGUUGGUUGUGAAAGCGCCCGGCUAAACUGGGCGAGGCCGAUCAAGACUGUUCAUCUAGAGAGUGAUAGAGGGGCGCAGAAUUCGGGGUGUAGCGGUGAAAUGUGUAGAGAUCCCGAGGAAUACCAGUGGGGAAGCCGGCGCCCUGGGUCAUAUCUGACGCUGAGAUGCGAAAGCGUGGGGAGCGAACGGG